This 654-nucleotide long non-coding RNA is filed under the name Capsella rubella. Its description in RNAcentral is "long non-coding RNA (CRUB_LNC002935)". The record is from RNAcentral. Lineage: Eukaryota; Viridiplantae; Streptophyta; Magnoliopsida; Brassicales; Brassicaceae.
UAACAACGUCAUCUGAAUGGAAUGCUCAUGAUAUUCAUGAACAGUUGUAGUGUCUUUAAUCAGUAACCAGCUCAAGUAAAGUCGCAGAGAACAAGUUAAGUGGGUGUUAUUGAAUAAUGUAUUUCAAUGUAUUUUAAUGUAUUUUAAAUUCUGCUGUUAUUCAAUUAUGUAUUUGAUAAAGUACAACACAAUCCACUGUUAUUCAAUAUGAGUUUGAUUUUGUUGUAUUUUGGUUGGAAAGGAUUUUAAUGUAUUCUUUUGUCUAAAACAUGAGUAAAGCAAAUACGUGCCUUUUCUCUCUGAUUUUGAUGUACUUCAUAGAAAACUAUAAGAAAAUAAAUAUUUUUAAAAUUAUUUCUUCUUCUUCCAUCUAUAACCGAGAACCUAUAAAGCACGUAAGGAAUUUAAAUGAUGAAUAAGUGCAAGAUCCACCAUGGCAUCUUCAAGCGGAGAACUUUGCUGGGAAGGAGGAAGAAGAAGAACAACGAUCAUGACUUUAAAAACAGAGAAUCAGAUGCUUCAUUAGGAAGAUAAAUCCACAGAUCCCUUCAACAUUUUAUUUGCAACAUACUAAAUCUUUUAUGUUUUUUGUUAUUUUGAUCCUUUUCCUACGAAGAACCGAUAUUGCCGUCUCGGAGUCGUCACGAAACAAAC